Long non-coding RNA from Panicum virgatum (switchgrass), 508 nucleotides. RefSeq lists it as uncharacterized. NCBI's taxonomy places the organism in Eukaryota, Viridiplantae, Streptophyta, Magnoliopsida, Poales, Poaceae. The record is from RefSeq and is a predicted model, not a curated record. The transcript is spliced from 2 exons.
GGUGGCCUAAAGCCCAUGUAGAUCCGUCCUGCGCCGGCGUCGUCUGCCGAGCUGAUGCGGUUGCCGUCUCGCCGUCGAGAUGCGCGGCGGUGAACAGCACCAUCCCCACCAGCCACUGCAUGCUUCGCCUCGCCUUCUCAUACGGUGCGGUCGCAGCUGGUGCCGUCGGAUGAGGAGAUCAUCUGAAAAUCUCUCCACCCCGCGCCCUGAGGCACCGCCGGCUCGGAGCCGGUGAUUACGGUGGCAGAUGGAGAGGCCUGCAGGAGCAAUCCAAUCUCGCGCCACCAGUGGCGUAAACCCUUGGCUCCGGACGGCAAGGUCAAGGUGGCGGCGGGCGGCCGGCGGCGAACACGCCUACCGCGGUUGGGGACGAUGACAGGCGUUUCGUAUUAUUAUUAUGCCCUUUAUCAAUAAACUGAUCGGUGGUUUGGGCUGCAAGGUCCGUGCUCUGUACUAGUCUCUACGCCGAUGAGGCUCAUGUUCAGGCUAAUUUAUUGGUUCUCCACCA